Molecule: non-coding RNA, 239 nt
Organism: Pelobates cultripes (western spadefoot toad)
Lineage: Eukaryota; Metazoa; Chordata; Amphibia; Anura; Pelobatidae
Source: the annotation of a GenBank genome assembly
GUCGGAAGAUGGGACGACUGCUCGAUUUAAAAAAUUGAUGAAUAAAAUCACACUGGCAGCCAGAAAAGCGAUAGCACAGAAGUGGAUCGACACCACAAUACCUACUCUGACAGAGGUGAUGCAAAGAAUUGAGGAAAACUCUAUCUCAUGGACAAACUGACAGCAAUAGUACACAACACCACCCAGUCCUUUAAAAAGCUGUGGAAGCCUUGGACAGACUUGGGAAGGGUGGUCAGCAG